RNAcentral lists this ribosomal RNA (238 nucleotides) under uncultured bacterium. RNAcentral describes it as "partial 16S ribosomal RNA". It matches the Rfam family "Bacterial small subunit ribosomal RNA", at positions 539 to 776 of the family's 1533-position model. The record is from RNAcentral.
CGUUGUCCGGAUUUACUGGGCGUAAAGAGCGCGCAGGCGGUCGUUCAAGUCGAGUGUGAAAGCCCCCGGCUCAACUGGGGAGGGUCACUCGAUACUGAUCGACUCGAAGGCAGGAGAGGGAAGUGGAAUUCCCGGUGUAGUGGUGAAAUGCGUAGAUAUCGGGAGGAACACCAGUGGCGAAGGCGACUGCCUGGCCUGUUCGUGACGCUGAGGCGCGAAAGCUAGGGGAGCAAACGGG